This 25-nucleotide non-coding RNA is filed under the name Cricetulus griseus (Chinese hamster). Lineage: Eukaryota; Metazoa; Chordata; Mammalia; Rodentia; Cricetidae. The record is from RNAcentral.
GUGUAUCAUUAGGGGUGGACUUUGG